This 429-nucleotide ribosomal RNA is filed under the name Pseudomonadota bacterium. RNAcentral describes it as "Proteobacteria bacterium partial 16S ribosomal RNA". It matches the Rfam family "Bacterial small subunit ribosomal RNA", at positions 355 to 776 of the family's 1533-position model. Lineage: Bacteria; Pseudomonadati; Pseudomonadota. The record is from RNAcentral.
UGGGGAAUAUUGGACAAUGGGCGAAAGCCUGAUCCAGCCAUGCCGCGUGUGUGAAGAAGGUCUUCGGAUUGUACAGCACUUUAAGUUGGGAGGAAGGGCAGUAAGCGAAUACCUUGCUGUUUUGACGUUACCGACAGAAUAAGCAACGGCUAACUCUGUGCCAGCAGCCGCGGUAAUCCAGAGGGUGCAAGCGUUAAUCGGAAUUACUGGGCGUAAAGCGCGCGUAGGUGGUUCGUUAAGUUGAAUGUGAAAGACCCGGGCGCAAACUGGGAACUGCGUCCAAUACUGGCCUGCUAGAGUAGGGCAGAGGGUGGUGGAAUUUCCUGGGGAGCGGUGAAAUGCGUAGAUAUAAGAAGGAACACCAGUGGCGAAGGCGACCACCUGGGCUCAUACUGACACUGAGGUGCGAAAGCGUGGGGAGCAAACAGG